Molecule: unclassified non-coding RNA, 674 nt
Filed under: Hevea brasiliensis (rubber tree)
Lineage: Eukaryota; Viridiplantae; Streptophyta; Magnoliopsida; Malpighiales; Euphorbiaceae
Source: RNAcentral
GCAAAUUUAGAUUAAAAUAAUUAAAAAAAGGGGAUGGAUACAUAGAUUCCAUAUACAGGAGGUCACAAUCUCAGCCACGUGGUUGAUAUGGAAAACAAAAAAUCAAAGUGUGGUGUCGUGGGGUGCAUGUGGUAACCCUAACCAUUUGCAUGUCUAUCUUUUUCUAUUAAUGUUUUGUUGUGAAGUAUCGAGGCAGUUUCUAUUACUUGCUAAAUGGUCUAGUGCUUUCUUGUUGUAUUGAUACAAAUUGUAUCUCAUGCUAGUCUUAAUCAUUCUAAACAAGUGGUUCAAUCACUUUCAGAAAUUGGCUCAUAGGCGUGGGAAGAGUGCAAGACUAAGUUUCUUUUCUUUUGGAUGUUACAGAAUCUAAAAUGGGCAGAAACAUGGGUCAUUGAAAUACCUUGCCCAGAGAGAGAGGUUGUGAUAUGUGAAGGGCCCACCAAGAAUCCAUCAACCUCAGCUGCGUCUUUGGGCCUUACUCAAAUGCUCCCUGGGUUUUGUAGUUCAUAUCAUGAAAGAUCCAUCACCAUCGCCUUGCCUAGGUUCAACCUUAUGCUUCUUUCAACCUUCUCCAUUCCUGCAUACGCCAUACCAUAAAAAGAACAUGUACAUACACAGUUCAUAGAGAGAAAAUACUUGUUUACAUCUCUUCUCUCUCUCUCUCUCUCUCUCUC